UUAAGCGACUAAGCGUACACGGUGGAUGCCUAGGCAGUCAGAGGCGAUGAAGGGCGUGCUAAUCUGCGAUAAGCGUCGGUAAGCUGAUAUGAAGCGUUAUACCCGACGAUACCCGAAUGGGGAAACCCAGUGUGUUUCGACACACUAUCAUUACGUGAAUACAUAGCGUAAUGAGGCGAACCGGGGGAACUGAAACAUCUCAGUACCCCGAGGAAAAGAAAUCAACCGAGAUUCCCCUAGUAGCGGCGAGCGAACGGGGAGGAGCCCAGAACCUGAAUCAGUUUGUGUGUUAGUGGAAGCGUCUGGAAAGUCGCACAGUAAAGGGUGAUAGUCCCGUACACAAAAAUGCACAGAUUGUGAGUUCGAUGAGUAGGGCGGGACACGUGACAUCCUGUCUGAAUAUGGGGGGACCAUCCUCCAAGGCUAAAUACUCCUGACUGACCGAUAGUGAACCAGUACCGUGAGGGAAAGGCGAAAAGAACCCCGGCGAGGGGAGUGAAAUAGAACCUGAAACCGUGUACGUACAAGCAGUGGGAGCCUUGAUUAAUCAGGGUGACUGCGUACCUUUUGUAUAAUGGGUCAGCGACUUAUAUUCUGUAGCAAGGUUAACCGUAUAGGGGAGCCGUAGGGAAACCGAGUCUUAACUGGGCGUUAAGUUGCAGGGUAUAGACCCGAAACCCGGUGAUCUAGCCAUGGGCAGGUUGAAGGUUGGGUAACACUAACUGGAGGACCGAACCGACUAAUGUUGAAAAAUUAGCGGAUGACUUGUGGCUGGGGGUGAAAGGCCAAUCAAACCGGGAGAUAGCUGGUUCUCCCCGAAAGCUAUUUAGGUAGCGCCUCGUGAAUUCAUCUUCGGGGGUAGAGCACUGUUUCGGCUAGGGGGUCAUCCCGACUUACCAACCCGAUGCAAACUACGAAUACCGAAGAAUGUUAUCACGGGAGACACACGGCGGGUGCUAACGUUCGUCGUGAAGAGGGAAACAACCCAGACCGCCAGCUAAGGUCCCAAAGUCAUGGUUAAGUGGGAAACGAUGUGGGAAGGCACAGACAGCCAGGAUGUUGGCUUAGAAGCAGCCAUCAUUUAAAGAAAGCGUAAUAGCUCACUGGUCGAGUCGGCCUGCGCGGAAGAUGUAACGGGGCUAAACCAUGCACCGAAGCUGCGGCAGCGACACUUAGGUGUUGUUGGGUAGGGGAGCGUUCUGUAAGCCGUCGAAGGUGGCCUGUGAGGGUUGCUGGAGGUAUCAGAAGUGCGAAUGCUGACAUAAGUAACGAUAAUGCGGGUGAAAAACCCGCACGCCGGAAGACCAAGGGUUCCUGUCCAACGUUAAUCGGGGCAGGGUGAGUCGACCCCUAAGGCGAGGCUGAAAAGCGUAGUCGAUGGGAAACAGGUUAAUAUUCCUGUACUCGGUGUUACUGCGAAGGGGGGACGGAGAAAGCUAGGUUAUCCGGGCGACGGUUGUCCCGGUUUAAGCGUGAAGGUGGAUGACUUUGGUAAAUCCGGGUCGUCAUUAACACUGAGGCGUGAUGACGAGUCACUACGGUGAUGAAGUAACCAAUGCUACGCUUCCAGGAAAAGCCUCUAAGCUCCAGGUAACAUCAAAUCGUACCCCAAACCGACACAGGUGGUCAGGUAGAGAAUACUCAGGCGCUUGAGAGAACUCGGGUGAAGGAACUAGGCAAAAUGGUGCCGUAACUUCGGGAGAAGGCACGCUGAUGGUAGGUGAAGUGACUUGCUCACGGAGCUGAAAUCAGUCGAAGAUACCAGCUGGCUGCAACUGUUUAAUAAAAACACAGCACUGUGCAAACACGAAAGUGGACGUAUACGGUGUGACGCCUGCCCGGUGCCGGAAGGUUAAUUGAUGGGGUCAGCCGCAAGGCGAAGCUCUUGAUCGAAGCCCCGGUAAACGGCGGCCGUAACUAUAACGGUCCUAAGGUAGCGAAAUUCCUUGUCGGGUAAGUUCCGACCUGCACGAAUGGCGUAAUGAUGGCCAGGCUGUCUCCACCCGAGACUCAGUGAAAUUGAACUCGCUGUGAAGAUGCAGUGUACCCGCGGCAAGACGGAAAGACCCCGUGAACCUUUACUAUAGCUUGACACUGAACCUUGAGCCUUGAUGUGUAGGAUAGGUGGGAGGCUUUGAAGCGUGGACGCCAGUCUGCGUGGAGCCAACCUUGAAAUACCACCCUUUAAUGUUUGAUGUUCUAACGUGGGCCCGUGAUCCGGGUUGCGGACAGUGUCUGGUGGGUAGUUUGACUGGGGCGGUCUCCUCCCAAAGCGUAACGGAGGAGCACGAAGGUUAGCUAAUCCUGGUCGGACAUCAGGAGGUUAGUGCAAAGGCAUAAGCUAGCUUGACUGCGAGAGUGACAGCUCGAGCAGGUGCGAAAGCAGGUCUUAGUGAUCCGGUGGUUCUGAAUGGAAGGGCCAUCGCUCAACGGAUAAAAGGUACUCCGGGGAUAACAGGCUGAUACCGCCCAAGAGUUCAUAUCGACGGCGGUGUUUGGCACCUCGAUGUCGGCUCAUCACAUCCUGGGGCUGAAGUAGGUCCCAAGGGUAUGGCUGUUCGCCAUUUAAAGUGGUACGCGAGCUGGGUUUAGAACGUCGUGAGACAGUUCGGUCCCUAUCUGCCGUGGGCGUUGGAAGAUUGAGAGGGGUUGCUCCUAGUACGAGAGGACCGGAGUGAACGCACCACUGGUGUUCGGGUUGUGAUGCCAAUUGCAUUGCCCGGUAGCUAAGUGCGGAAGAGAUAACCGCUGAAAGCAUCUAAGCGGGAAACUUGCCUCGAGAUGAGUCUUCCCU
This 2794-nucleotide ribosomal RNA is filed under the name Pectobacterium carotovorum. RNAcentral describes it as "bacterial LSU rRNA". It matches the Rfam family "Bacterial large subunit ribosomal RNA". The record is from RNAcentral. Lineage: Bacteria; Pseudomonadati; Pseudomonadota; Gammaproteobacteria; Enterobacterales; Pectobacteriaceae.